CUUCCUGUUUGCUAUUACUAGUUCGUCUGUUCUAUCUUCUGUGACAAAACUCUCUUUGUGUUGAGUCAUGACAUAUGAACACUAAAUUUCUGGUUUCUGCAUGGUUAGGUGGUGUUAGCUUACGGAACUCCAGAGAAAUAUAUGUGUAAGUAUUCAGCCAGCCUCAGUAUCCACAAAUCCUGCUUGAUAACGUACUUGGAUAUGGCAAAGGUUUAAAAAAAAAGGUGGAGAAAAUAGUGGCAGUUCCUGCAACACAGAGGUGAGGAGUGCUGUGUGCACCACUGUAGCUAUGGAACCGAUUACCGGUGACCCUGCCAGGGGAUGGAGCAAGAAGAUCACGUCUCAUGGCUUGAGGUGUGAAUCUUGUGACUGUCAUAUUCUAUCCUUGCCGAAGCCCAGGUCCCGAGGGUGCCGUGUCCAGAGUGACUAUGAGACGCAGCUUCCCGCUCCUGAGCUCUUGGUCCAGGCGACCCUUCUGUUGGUCAUUGUUCAUGCACGUCCCUGGGUUCCCUCAUUUGGCAAGAGGCUGAAACCAUCAUGGUCCACUUCCGGAAUGCAUUUUCUGUUUUCUCACCUGCAUGGUGAGUGCCAUCAGACAAGGACUGAGUUUUGUACCUCUCUGCUUCAACAUUGGCUAGAACAGAUUUUACAUACUGAGCCUCCAUUGCUGUUCGUCCAUCAUGUGACUCAUUCUACAGUUUCCCCACAAACUCCAAGUGCCUCCUUACCACAUACAAGGACCUGGUGGUGGUUCUCAAGAAACUGCCAUUCUACUUGGUAAGGGAAGCAGACAGAAAGAGCUGAGAUGAGCUGGUGACACCUGCUCCUGCACCGUGAGAUCCUGUCCUCUUCUAUCCUCUCUGCCCCAGUCUGUUUGAUAUUGAAAUGGAAAGAUGGUGAGAAUAGAAGCUGGUAGACUGGCAGUCAAGACUUGACAUGAAGCAUCUUCAGCAGUCAUUUGAUAAGUGUUUGCCCUGUGAAGUGUUCUAGCAACCUCAGAACUCACGCUGGCAACUUCUAUAAACACCCUCUCUUCUGUUUUCCUUCACUCUGCAACUUCUCAUUCCACCAUUGAUGGAUUAAUUCAGUUUAGUGUUUAUCAGACGGACUCAGUGCCAUUCUUAUAGAGACCAAGUCAAAAAGAACAAACAAUUAUUUAUCAAAUGAAUGCCAUUUAAAAGUAUUGUGCUGGUCAUAGUAUUAAGUAUAAAGAAGAAAUAAGCUGUCACUUUUGCUCAUCCUUCAUUGACUGAUCCAUUAAUUUUGUGUUUGCAUGAAAGUUUUGUGGUAUCUUAUAGCAGGAAGAUAUUUCCAGUGCUAGUUCUAUUAAUU
Molecule: long non-coding RNA, 1332 nt
Filed under: Urocitellus parryii (Arctic ground squirrel)
Lineage: Eukaryota; Metazoa; Chordata; Mammalia; Rodentia; Sciuridae
Description: lncRNA (ENSUPAG00010007098.1)
Source: RNAcentral